GUAGGUGUAGUUUAACAAAAACAUUAGAUUGUGAUUCUAAUAAUAGAAGCUGAGUCUUCUCACCUACC
This 68-nucleotide transfer RNA is filed under the name Glossophaga soricina (Pallas's long-tongued bat). RNAcentral describes it as "tRNA-His". It matches the Rfam family "tRNA". From Rfam's summary of the family: Transfer RNA (tRNA) molecules are approximately 80 nucleotides in length. Lineage: Eukaryota; Metazoa; Chordata; Mammalia; Chiroptera; Phyllostomidae. The record is from RNAcentral.